UUAGAGGAAGUAAAAGUCGCAACAAGGUUUCCGUAGGUGAACCUACGAAGGAUCAU
This 56-nucleotide ribosomal RNA is filed under the name Caecosagitta macrocephala. Its description in RNAcentral is "partial 18S rRNA". It matches the Rfam family "Eukaryotic small subunit ribosomal RNA", at positions 1773 to 1829 of the family's 1831-position model. The record is from RNAcentral. Lineage: Eukaryota; Metazoa; Chaetognatha; Sagittoidea; Aphragmophora; Sagittidae.